Molecule: ribosomal RNA, 497 nt
Filed under: uncultured bacterium
Lineage: Bacteria
Description: partial 16S ribosomal RNA
Rfam family: Bacterial small subunit ribosomal RNA
Source: RNAcentral
GAUGAACGCUGGCGGCGUGCCUAAUACAUGCAAGUCGAGCGAACGGACGAGAAGCUUGCUUCUCUGAUGUUAGCGGCGGACGGGUGAGUAACACGUGGAUAACCUACCUAUAAGACUGGGAUAACUUCGGGAAACCGGAGCUAAUACCGGAUGAUAUUUUGAACCGCAUGGUUCAAAAGUGAAAGACGGUCUUGCUGUCACUUAUAGAUGGAUCCGCGGUGCAUUAGCUAGUUGGUAAGGUAACGGCUUACCAAGGCAACGAUGCAUAGCCGACCUGAGAGGGUGAUCGGCCCCACUGGAACUGAGACACGGUACAGACUCCUACGGGCGGCAGCAGUAGGGAAUCUUCCGCAAUGGGCGAAAGCCUGCCGGAGCAACGCCGCGUGAGUGAUGAAGGUCUUCGGAUCGUAAAACUCUGUUAUUAGGGAAGAACAUAUGUGUAAGUAACUGUGCACAUCUUGACGGUACCUAAUCAGAAAGCCACGGCUAACUACGUG